RNAcentral lists this ribosomal RNA (429 nucleotides) under Epicoccum sp. CID328. RNAcentral describes it as "eukaryotic LSU rRNA". The stretch from base 59 to 212 matches the Rfam family "5.8S ribosomal RNA". The record is from RNAcentral. Lineage: Eukaryota; Fungi; Ascomycota; Dothideomycetes; Pleosporales; Didymellaceae.
GGACAACAUUCAAACCCUUUGCAGUUGCAAUCAGCGUCUGAAAAAACAUAAUAGUUACAACUUUCAACAACGGAUCUCUUGGUUCUGGCAUCGAUGAAGAACGCAGCGAAAUGCGAUAAGUAGUGUGAAUUGCAGAAUUCAGUGAAUCAUCGAAUCUUUGAACGCACAUUGCGCCCCUUGGUAUUCCAUGGGGCAUGCCUGUUCGAGCGUCAUUUGUACCUUCAAGCUCUGCUUGGUGUUGGGUGUUUGUCUCGCCUCUGCGUGUAGACUCGCCUUAAAACAAUUGGCAGCCGGCGUAUUGAUUUCGGAGCGCAGUACAUCUCGCGCUUUGCACUCACAACGACGACGUCCAAAAGUACAUUUUUACACUCUUGACCUCGGAUCAGGUAGGGAUACCCGCUGAACUUAAGCAUAUCAAUAAGCGGAGGA